This 428-nucleotide ribosomal RNA is filed under the name uncultured bacterium. RNAcentral's name for it is "bacterial SSU rRNA". It matches the Rfam family "Bacterial small subunit ribosomal RNA", at positions 355 to 776 of the family's 1533-position model. The record is from RNAcentral.
UGGGGAAUCUUGCGCAAUGGGCGAAAGCCUGACGCAGCGACGCCGCGUGGGUGAUGAAGGCCUUCGGGUUGUAAAGCCCUGUGGGGAGGGACGAAUAAUGGUGACCUAAUACGUCAUCGGAUGACGGUACCUCCUUAGCAAGCACCGGCUAACUCUGUGCCAGCAGCCGCGGUAAGACAGAGGGUGCGAACGUUGUUCGGAAUUACUGGGCGUAAAGCGCGUGUAGGCGGCAAGGCAAGUCGGAUGUGAAAGCCCCGGGCUCAACCUGGGAAGUGCAUUCGAUACUGCCAAGCUGGAGUCCCGGAGAGGAUGGUGGAACUCUCGGUGUAGAGGUGAAAUUCGUAGAUAUCGAGAAGAACACCGGUGGCGAAGGCGGCCAUCUGGACGGUGACUGACGCUGAGACGCGAAAGCGUGGGGAGCAAACAGG